AGUGCAGACCACAAGUGAAGUGGGUGUACUUCACGAGGGGAGAGAACGCGUCUUUUUUAUCUUUUCAUCCUCGAAACUUUGUGCGGAGACCGGCUCACGACAGCGCUCGGGAGCGUUCCUUUGUAAAUCUCUGGUCCUCGGAUCACCGGUCCAGGUUGGCGGCUCUCCCACGUGGCCGUUCAGGAAUGCAGCCCCUCCCUGUGUCACCCAGCCGCCUCUCAGGGCGAAGGUCAGCACCGCGCAGCCUGCACGUGAAUCUGCCCCACCUCCUGCUUUGGUAAACAGAGAGUUUCCGGAACGGAGCGAUGCUCAUUUGUGUAUCGUCUGUGGCUGCUCUUGUGCCCCGAGGGUGGAGCUGAGUAGUUGAACAGAAACUCUGUGGCCCACAGAGUCUGAAAUGUCUACUGCCGGGACCUUCGCAGGAAAGGAUAGGAAGAGAGGCCAGGAAAGGACAGAUACAGCCCAUCAUUCAAGGCCCAGACACGGCAGACUCCUCUGUCACUUUCACGCACAUCUCCUUGGACCACAGCCGGUCCCAUGACCUGGCCUAGCUGCAAGGGAGGCUGGAAAUGCCAUCUUUGGCUUAGGGGCCUGCAAGCUUUUUCUGUAAAAAGCCAAACUGGAAAUGUUUCCAGUGCUGAAGGCUUCACGCUCUCUGCCACAGUCACUUAACUCCACCGGUGCAGCUGCCGCGGACAAGGUGUGAAUAAAUGAUCACGGCUGUGUUCCAGUGAAACUGCGUGUACAAAAAGGGGCUCUGCUCUGGUCGGGAGUCCUGUGAGCUGGUAGUAGAAUUAAAACCAGAAAUCUGCCCAAGGAGGCAAGGAUACACAAUGGGGUGAAGACGGUCUCUUCAUUGAAUGCUUUUGGAAACUUGACAGAUAUAAGCAAAAAAGAAAGAAAAGCUAGACCACUUUCUUAUGCCACAUACAGGGGUAAACCCAAAGUGGAUUAAAGACCUAAGUGUAAGGCCACAGACUGUAAGACUGCCAAAGGAAAAUGUUAGCAAUAAACUCUUUGACAUUGGCCUUGGAAAUGUUUUUUAGGUAUGUCUCCUAAGGCAAAAAAAUCCAAAGUAAAAAUAAACACAUUGGACCACAUCAAACUGAAAAGGUUUUGCACUGCCAAGGAAACCAUCAACAAAACACAAAGGCUACCUACUGAAUAGAAGAUCUUUUUGAUAAAGGGCUAACAUCCAAAAAAGAACUCGCACAGCUCAACAUCAAAGAACAAUCCAAUUAAAAAACGGGCAAAGGACCUGAACAGACACUUCCCCGAAGAGGAAAUACAGACGACUAAUACACAUGUGAAAAGAUGUUCAAUGUCACUAAUCAUCAGAGAGAUGCAAAUUAAAGCCACAAUGAGAUACCACCUCACACCUGUCAGAAUGGCUACCAAUAAAUCCACAAACCACAA
Molecule: long non-coding RNA, 1416 nt
Organism: Phyllostomus hastatus (greater spear-nosed bat)
Lineage: Eukaryota; Metazoa; Chordata; Mammalia; Chiroptera; Phyllostomidae
Exons: 2
Source: RefSeq, a predicted model, not a curated record